GAUGAACGCUGGCGGCGUGCCUAAUACAUGCAAGUCGAGCGAACAGACGAGAGUGCUUGCCCUCUCUGACGUUAGCGGCGGACGGGUGAGUAACACGUGGGUAACCUACCUAUAAGACUGGGAUAACUUCGGGAAACCGGAGCUAAUACCGGAUAAUAUUUAGCUUCGCAUGAAGCAAUAGUGAAAGACGGUUCUGCUGUCACUUAUAGAUGGACCCGCGGUGUAUUAGCUAGUUGGUGAGGUAACGGCUCACCAAGGCAACGAUACAUAGCCGACCUGAGAGGGUGAUCGGCCACACUGGGACUGAGACACGGCCCAGACUCCUACGGGAGGCAGCAGUAGGGAAUCUUCCGCAAUGGACGAAAGUCUGACGGAGCAAUGCCGCGUGAGUGAAGAAGGUUUUCGGAUCGUAAAACUCUGUUGUAAGGGAAGAACAAGUACGUUAGUAACUGAACGUACCUUGACGGUACCUGAACAGAAAGCCACGGCUAACUACGUG
RNAcentral lists this ribosomal RNA (499 nucleotides) under uncultured bacterium. Its description in RNAcentral is "partial 16S ribosomal RNA". It matches the Rfam family "Bacterial small subunit ribosomal RNA", at positions 28 to 507 of the family's 1533-position model. The record is from RNAcentral.